Molecule: ribosomal RNA, 250 nt
Filed under: uncultured bacterium
Lineage: Bacteria
Description: partial 16S ribosomal RNA
Rfam family: Bacterial small subunit ribosomal RNA
Source: RNAcentral
GACAGAGGUGGCAAGCGUUGUUCGGAAUUACUGGGCUUAAAGGGCGAGUAGGCGGUGGGACAAGUCUGAUGUGGAAUGUUAGGGCUUAACCCUAAAACUGCAUUAGAAACUGUUUUACUUGAGUCAGUGAGGGGAGGGCGGAAUUCCCGGUGUAGCGGUGAAAUGCGUAGAUAUCGGGAGGAAGGCCGGUGGCGAAGGCGGCCCUCUGGCACUGUACUGACGCUGAGGCGCGAAAGCGUGGGGAGCAAAC